GAUGAACGCUGGCGGCGUGCCUAAUACAUGCAAGUCGAGCGAACGGACGAGAAGCUUGCUUCUCUGAUGUUAGCGGCGGACGGGUGAGUAACACGUGGAUAACCUACCUAUAAGACUGGGAUAACUUCGGGAAACCGUAGCUAAUACCGGAUAAUAUUUUGAACCGCAUGGUUCAACAGUGAAAGACGGUCUUGCUGUCACUUUUAGAUGGAUCCGCGCUGCAUUAGCUAGUUGGUAAGGUAACGGCUUACCAAGGCAACGAUGCUUAGCCGACCGGGGAGGGUGAUCGGCCACACGGGAACUGAGACACGGUCCAGACUCCUACGGGAGGAAGCAGUAGGGAAUCUUCCGCAAUGGGCGAAGGCCUGACGGGGCAACGCCGCGUGAGUGAUGAAGGUCUUCGGAUCGUAAAACUCUGUUAUUAGGGAAGAACAUAUGUGUAAGUAACUGUGCACAUCGUGACGGUACCUAAUCAGAAAGCCACGGCUAACUACGUG
RNAcentral lists this ribosomal RNA (497 nucleotides) under uncultured bacterium. RNAcentral's name for it is "partial 16S ribosomal RNA". It matches the Rfam family "Bacterial small subunit ribosomal RNA", at positions 28 to 507 of the family's 1533-position model. The record is from RNAcentral.